GCAGGCAUGGCGGAAUUGGCAGACGCGCACGGUUCAGGUCCGUGUGAAAGCAAUUUCAUGGAGGUUCGAGUCCUCUUGCCUGCACCA
RNAcentral lists this transfer RNA (87 nucleotides) under Bacillota bacterium. RNAcentral's name for it is "tRNA-Leu". It matches the Rfam family "tRNA". From Rfam's summary of the family: Transfer RNA (tRNA) molecules are approximately 80 nucleotides in length. Their secondary structure includes four short double-helical elements and three loops (D, anti-codon, and T loops). Further hydrogen bonds mediate the characteristic L-shaped molecular structure. tRNAs have two regions of fundamental functional importance: the anti-codon, which is responsible for specific mRNA codon recognition, and the 3' end, to which the tRNAs corresponding amino acid is attached (by aminoacyl-tRNA synthetases). tRNAs cope with the degeneracy of the genetic code in two manners: having more than one tRNA (with a specific anti-codon) for a particular amino acid; and 'wobble' base-pairing, i.e. permitting non-standard base-pairing at the 3rd anti-codon position. RNAcentral also lists the same sequence under 5 other names. The record is from RNAcentral. Lineage: Bacteria; Bacillati; Bacillota.